UACAGAGGGUGCAAGCGUUAAUCGGAGUAACUGGGCGUAAAGGGCACGUAGGCGGUUAUGCUAGUCUGAUGUGAAAGACCUGGGCUUAACCUGGGAUGUGCAUUGGAGACGGCAUAGCUAGAGUUUGGGAGAGGGAAGUGGAAUUUCCGGUGUAGCGGUGAAAUGCGUAGAGAUCGGAAAGAACACUCGUGGCGAAGGCGGCUUUCUGGCCCAAAACUGACGCUGAGGUGCGAAAGCGUGGGGAGCAAACAGG
This 253-nucleotide ribosomal RNA is filed under the name uncultured bacterium. RNAcentral's name for it is "partial 16S ribosomal RNA". It matches the Rfam family "Bacterial small subunit ribosomal RNA", at positions 524 to 776 of the family's 1533-position model. The record is from RNAcentral.